This 495-nucleotide ribosomal RNA is filed under the name uncultured bacterium. RNAcentral describes it as "partial 16S ribosomal RNA". It matches the Rfam family "Bacterial small subunit ribosomal RNA", at positions 28 to 507 of the family's 1533-position model. The record is from RNAcentral.
GACGAACGCUGGCGGCGUGCCUAAUACAUGCAAGUCGAACGCUGAGGGAGGAGCUUGCUUCUCUGGAUGAGUUGCGAACGGGUGAGUAACGCGUAUGUAACCUGCCUGGUAGCGGGGGAUAACUAUUGGAAACGAUAGCUAAUACCGCAUAAUAGCAGUUGUUGCAUGAUAACUGUUUGAAAGGUGCAAUUGCGCCACUACCAGAUGGACCUGCGUUGUAUUAGCUAGUUGGUGGUGUAACGGCUCAACAAGGCGACGAUUCAUAGCCGACCUGAGAGGGGUAACGGGCAAACUGGGACUGGAGCACGGGCCAGGACUCUACGGGAGGGAGCAGGAGGGGAUCUUCCGGAAUGGGCGGAAGGCUGACCGGGGAACGCCGCGUGAGGGAAGGAGGUUUUCGGGUCGUUAAGAUCUGGUGUAUGGGAAGAAAGAGUGUGGGAGUGGAAAGUGCACACUGUGACGGUAUCUUACCAGAAAGCGACGGCUAACUACGUG